This 497-nucleotide ribosomal RNA is filed under the name uncultured bacterium. Its description in RNAcentral is "partial 16S ribosomal RNA". It matches the Rfam family "Bacterial small subunit ribosomal RNA", at positions 28 to 507 of the family's 1533-position model. The record is from RNAcentral.
GAUGAACGCUGGCGGCGUGCCUAAUACAUGCAAGUAGAACGCUGAAGGAAGGAGCUUGCUCUUUCCGGAUGAGUUGCGAACGGGUGAGUAACGCGUAGGUAACCUGCCUGGUAGCGGGGGAUAACUAUUGGAAACGAUAGCUAAUACCGCAUAACAGUAGAUGUUGCAUGAUAUCUACUUAAAAGGUGCAAUUGCACCACUACCAGAUGGACCUGCGUUGUAUUAGCUAGUUGGUGAGGUAACGGCUCACCAAGGCGACGAUACAUAGCCGACCUGAGAGGGUGAUCGGCCACACUGGGACUGAGACACGGCCCAGACUCCUACGGGAGGCAGCAGUAGGGAAUCUUCGGCAAUGGACGGAAGUCUGACCGAGCAACGCCGCGUGAGUGAAGAAGGUUUUCGGAUCGUAAAGCUCUGUUGUAAGAGAAGAACGAGUGUAAGAGUGGAAAGUUCACACUGUGACGGUAUCUUACCAGAAAGGGACGGCUAACUACGUG